RNAcentral lists this ribosomal RNA (445 nucleotides) under uncultured bacterium. Its description in RNAcentral is "bacterial SSU rRNA". It matches the Rfam family "Bacterial small subunit ribosomal RNA", at positions 329 to 792 of the family's 1533-position model. The record is from RNAcentral.
AUCCAGACUCCUACGGGAGGCAGCAGUGGGGAAUAUUGCACAAUGGGCGAAAGCCUGAUGCAGCAACGCCGCGUGAGUGAUGAAGGCCUUCGGGUCGUAAAACUCUGUCCUCAAGGAAGAUAAUGACGGUACUUGAGGAGGAAGCCCCGGCUAACUACGUGCCAGCAGCCGCGGUAAUACGUAGGGGGCUAGCGUUAUCCGGAUUUACUGGGCGUAAAGGGUGCGUAGGCGGUCUUUCAAGUCAGGAGUGAAAGGCUACGGCUCAACCGUAGUAAGCUCUUGAAACUGGGAGACUUGAGUGCAGGAGAGGAGAGUGGAAUUCCUAGUGUAGCGGUGAAAUGCGUAGAUAUCACGCAGAACUCCGAUUGCGAAGGCAGCAUACCGGCGCCCGACUGACGCUGAGGCACGAAAGCGUGGGUAUCGAACAGGAUUAGAUACCCCCGUA